Thrips palmi is the source of this 275-nucleotide long non-coding RNA. RefSeq lists it as uncharacterized. Lineage: Eukaryota; Metazoa; Arthropoda; Insecta; Thysanoptera; Thripidae. The transcript is spliced from 3 exons. The record is from RefSeq and is a predicted model, not a curated record.
GCAGUUUGGGUCGUCCGCAUGCCGCCGUCGUGGGCUCGGCUCUGAAAGAGGUGGCCGAGGGCUGACGGGACUGUGAUGGAAGCGGCGUCCUUCCCCACGCGAGCGGCAGGACACCGGCGCUUGCAGAGCGCGUGCUGGCCGACUCCGGCCCGGCCUUCAGGCGAGCCUUCCGGGGUGCCAUCGCCGUCGGGGCCCUGAGGGUGAGGCUGUGAUGCUCUUGUGUCGGGUGUCGUGCGGCGACCGGCGCCGCGCUCCGCCACCCCACCACCACCGCC